CCCCGGUAAACGGCGGCCGUAACUAUAACGGUCCUAAGGUAGCGAAAUUCCUUGUCGGGUAAGUUCCGACCUGCACGAAUGGCGUAAUGAUGGCCAGGCUGUCUCCACCCGAGACUCAGUGAAAUUGAACUCGCUGUGAAGAUGCAGUGUACCCGCGGCAAGACGGAAAGACCCCGUGAACCUUUACUAUAGCUUGACACUGAACAUUGAGCCUUGAUGUGUAGGAUAGGUGGGAGGCUUUGAAGUGUGGACGCCAGUCUGCAUGGAGCCGACCUUGAAAUACCACCCUUUAAUGUUUGAUGUUCUAACGUGGACCCGUAAUCCGGGUUGCGGACAGUGUCUGGUGGGUAGUUUGACUGGGGCGGUCUCCUCCUAAAGAGUAACGGAGGAGCACGAAGGUUGGCUAAUCCUGGUCGGACAUCAGGAGGUUAGUGCAAUGGCAUAAGCCAGCUUGACUGCGAGCGUGACGGCGCGAGCAGGUGCGAAAGCAGGUCAUAGUGAUCCGGUGGUUCUGAAUGGAAGGGCCAUCGCUCAACGGAUAAAAGGUACUCCGGGGAUAACAGGCUGAUACCGCCCAAGAGUUCAUAUCGACGGCGGUGUUUGGCACCUCGAUGUCGGCUCAUCACAUCCUGGGGCUGAAGUAGGUCCCAAGGGUAUGGCUGUUCGCCAUUUAAAGUGGUACGCGAGCUGGGUUUAGAACGUCGUGAGACAGUUCGGUCCCUAUCUGCCGUGGGCGCUGGAGAACUGAGGGGGGCUGCUCCUAGUACGAGAGGACCGGAGUGGACGCAUCACUGGUGUUCGGGUUGUCAUGCCAAUGGCACUGCCCGGUAGCUAAAUGCGGAAGAGAUAAGUGCUGAAAGCAUCUAAGCACGAAACUUGCCCCGAGAUGAGUUCUCCCUGAGACUUAGAGUCU
Molecule: ribosomal RNA, 913 nt
Filed under: Salmonella enterica
Lineage: Bacteria; Pseudomonadati; Pseudomonadota; Gammaproteobacteria; Enterobacterales; Enterobacteriaceae
Also listed under: 4 other names
Description: partial 23S ribosomal RNA
Rfam family: Bacterial large subunit ribosomal RNA
Source: RNAcentral